RNAcentral lists this ribosomal RNA (416 nucleotides) under uncultured cyanobacterium. RNAcentral's name for it is "bacterial SSU rRNA". It matches the Rfam family "Bacterial small subunit ribosomal RNA", at positions 357 to 787 of the family's 1533-position model. The record is from RNAcentral. Lineage: Bacteria; Bacillati; Cyanobacteriota.
GGGAAUUUUCCGCAAUGGGCGAAANCCUGACGGAGCAAUACCGCGUGGGGGAGGAAGGCUCUUGGGUUGUAAACCCCUUUUCUCAGGGAAGAAAAAAAUGACGGUACCUGAGGAAUAAGCAUCGGCUAACUCCGUGCCAGCAGCCGCGGUAAUACGGAGGAUGCAAGCGUUAUCCGGAAUGAUUGGGCGUAAAGCGUCUGUAGGUGGUUUGGCAAGUCUGCCGUUAAAGGUCGGGGCUCAACUCCGAAAAGGCGGUGGAAACUGCCAGACUAGAGUGUGGUAGGGGUAGAGGGAAUUCCCGGUGUAGCGGUGAAAUGCGUAGAUAUCGGGAAGAACACCGGUGGCGAAGGCGCUCUACUGGGCCACAACUGACACUGAGGGACGAAAGCUAGGGGAGCGAAAGGGAUUAGAUACCC